RNAcentral lists this long non-coding RNA (558 nucleotides) under Brassica napus (rape). RNAcentral's name for it is "long non-coding RNA (BNAP_LNC005079)". The record is from RNAcentral. Lineage: Eukaryota; Viridiplantae; Streptophyta; Magnoliopsida; Brassicales; Brassicaceae.
UGGCUUGACACAAUAACGCCUAUAACUAAACAAAGUCCACUGUGAUAACUAAUUUUCCUACUUUAACCACUCUCACGAAACGAUUUUAAACGACCAGAACGGCGUGUUGUAAUGUUACAGGAAGUAUCGGGAACGUGAAACAUCAUGGCGUUUUUUAAUAUUUGGCCAGUUCUACUACUAGCCCACCUUUUCUUUCGAAGAAAUGCUGCUGAAUCAACCUGGAAAGUUAGCUGGUAGAGUUGUGGAAAGAGGUUAGUGAUUGUGGGCCGCAAGACGAUAUUAAUACAAACCAUAGAAAGAUGUAACUAUCCUUGUCAAAAUUGAUUUUCAGAUAGUCAAGAUUUAAUCUAAAUAAGGUGGGCCUAGUGUAGACUUGAUUAGGACCAUUGCCAUAUAUCAUUAAAGAGGCCUAUCUUAGAUGACUGAACUUCUAGACCAAGUAGAGGGUUCUGAUGCUGCAGAGAACUUACUAAACAAACAUAAACAGAUUACUUGGAGUCAAAGUUUCCUCAAGGAAGAAGAACCAAGCUUAAAGACAGAGUUUAUACAAGAUUCAGA